Molecule: non-coding RNA, 24 nt
Filed under: Arabidopsis thaliana (thale cress)
Lineage: Eukaryota; Viridiplantae; Streptophyta; Magnoliopsida; Brassicales; Brassicaceae
Source: RNAcentral
AAGAAUGCUCUUUGCAGGCCGCGC